CCUAGCCGUAAACUUUGAUAGAAAGAUACAACUGAUAUCCGCCAGGGAACUACAAGCGCCAGCUUAAAACCCAAAGGACUUGGCGGUGCCUCAGACCCACCUAGAGGAGCCUGUUCUAGAACCGAUAACCCCCGUUCAACCUCACCACCUCUUGUUUUCCCCGCCUAUAUACCACCGUCGUCAGCUUACCCUGUGAAGGCCCGAUAGUAAGCAAAAUGGGUAAAACCCAAAACGUCAGGUCGAGGUGUAGCGCAUGGGGUGGGAAGAAAUGGGCUACAUUCUCUAAAUUAGAGCACUACGAACCACGUUGUGAAACCAACGUCCGAAGGUGGAUUUAGCAGUAAACAGAAAACAGAGAGUUCUCUUGAAACUGGCUCUGAGGCGCGCAC
This 389-nucleotide ribosomal RNA is filed under the name Salvelinus confluentus (bull trout). RNAcentral's name for it is "partial 12S ribosomal RNA". It matches the Rfam family "Bacterial small subunit ribosomal RNA", at positions 795 to 1386 of the family's 1533-position model. Lineage: Eukaryota; Metazoa; Chordata; Actinopteri; Salmoniformes; Salmonidae. The record is from RNAcentral.